UUAUGAACAGUCUGACCCGAAUUCCAUAUAGUAUAAGAUUCAGUAAAAGUCGUAGAAACCAGACGGCUGGCGUCCUACACGAGCGUACGUGUGGUCAUGACACUAUCUGUAGAGCCCAGCGCACUUGUGCUGGAUCAGGACUUAACUGUGAAAUAGAGUGCUACAGCGGCUAUGCUGGAUUCCAUAAGCCAAUGAUUAUUAGAUUAGAACCUGUCGUGUCUAUCAGUGGUUCAUGAGACGGCUGUAUUGAUGAUUAGUAACAGUCGCGCAUCGUGUAUUCAAUGCUCAGAGUUGAAAUUCUCGAAUUUAUGGAGGACUACUUAUUGCGAAACCAUGGCCAUGAAUGUAUUCAUAUUCAGACGGAGAGUUAGUGAUUGGAAGAGGUUCGGAUACGGUGUAUUGUCAACCGUAUAACUAUACGCGAGUC
RNAcentral lists this ribosomal RNA (427 nucleotides) under uncultured fungus. RNAcentral describes it as "bacterial SSU rRNA". Lineage: Eukaryota; Fungi. The record is from RNAcentral.